This 253-nucleotide ribosomal RNA is filed under the name uncultured microorganism. RNAcentral's name for it is "partial 16S ribosomal RNA". It matches the Rfam family "Bacterial small subunit ribosomal RNA", at positions 524 to 776 of the family's 1533-position model. The record is from RNAcentral.
UACGUAGGGGGCGAGCGUUACCCGGAUUCACUGGGCGUAAAGCGGGUGUAGGCGGCUCGGUAAGUCGGGUGUGAAAUCCCACAGCUCAACUGUGGAAUUGCGCCCGAAACUGCUGAGCUUGGGGCCGGUAGAGGGGGACGGAACUGCCGGUGUAGGGGUGAAAUCCGUAGAUAUCGGCAGGAACGCCGGUGGGGAAGCCGGUCUCCUGGGCCGCGCCCGACGCUGAGACCCGAAAGCUAGGGGAGCAAACCGG